RNAcentral lists this ribosomal RNA (261 nucleotides) under uncultured archaeon. RNAcentral's name for it is "partial 16S ribosomal RNA". It matches the Rfam family "Archaeal small subunit ribosomal RNA", at positions 748 to 1008 of the family's 1478-position model. The record is from RNAcentral.
AGGGUGUAAACGCUGCCGACUUGGUGUUGGAGGCCCUUCGGGGGCAUUCAGUGCCGGAGAGAAGUUGUUAAGUCGGCCACUUGGGGAGUACGUCCGCAAGGAUGAAACUUAAAGGAAUUGGCGGGGGAGCACCGCAACGGGAGGAGCGUGCGGUUUAAUUGGAUUCAACACCGUAAAACUCACCAGGGAAGACUGUUACAUGAAAGCCGAGAUGAAGACUCUGCUAGAUUUUCAGAGAGGUGGUGCAUGGCGUCAGUGACU